Molecule: transfer RNA, 77 nt
Filed under: Actinobacteria bacterium RBG_16_68_21
Lineage: Bacteria; Bacillati; Actinomycetota
Also listed under: 3 other names
Description: tRNA-Met
Rfam family: tRNA
About the family: Transfer RNA (tRNA) molecules are approximately 80 nucleotides in length. Their secondary structure includes four short double-helical elements and three loops (D, anti-codon, and T loops).
Source: RNAcentral
CGCGGGGUGGAGCAGUCUGGUAGCUCGUCGGGCUCAUAACCCGAAGGUCGCGGGUUCAAAUCCCGCCCCCGCUACGA